ACCUCAACGCCGCUGUCUCUGCCCAAACCUCCAGCUGUGUGCCCUAGUCGAUCUUGGAGGGGGUCUUGUUGUGGAGUAUUUUUAGUCCAGCAGCCAUCCUGUGUCCUGCAGCCACGAUCCUUGUUGUUGAUCAACAAGAGGCAGUGAAUUGAGGAUUUUGACGCGAGACGAGUAUCUCGGAGUCGGAAUUGGACCACUUUAUUGGAGGCG
Zingiber officinale is the source of this 210-nucleotide long non-coding RNA. RefSeq lists it as uncharacterized. NCBI's taxonomy places the organism in Eukaryota, Viridiplantae, Streptophyta, Magnoliopsida, Zingiberales, Zingiberaceae. The transcript is spliced from 3 exons. The record is from RefSeq and is a predicted model, not a curated record.